Long non-coding RNA from Astatotilapia calliptera (eastern happy), 482 nucleotides. NCBI's taxonomy places the organism in Eukaryota, Metazoa, Chordata, Actinopteri, Cichliformes, Cichlidae. The record is from Ensembl.
GCAAUACUUGCAAAGUAGAGAUUUCAUCAAAGGGAGGAAACACUACGAAUAUGCAAAAGCAUUUGCUCAAAAAACACGCGAUUGCUUUCAACGAAUGUCGUGUUUUUGAUCCGCUCCGGACUAGCGAAGCUCAACCCAGCAGCAGCGGUAGCGUUUCCACGUCCUCUCCCGUUAAUACUGCAGAUAACCAUGAUGAGAGAGACAGAGUCUGGCUGGCUCAGAUGCUGGCAGUUCUCGCUGCAGUCUACCGGUAGCGUCUCCUUUCAGGCCAGGAUAGACGAAUGUCAACCAGCAGUGUCUAAGUUUGUGGUCAAAGGCUUGCACCCAUUUGCCACAGCAGAUGCCCCCGAUUUCACUUUGGUAUGUGCCCACCCAUUGUAGACAUGGGCAGCUUGCCGCCAUGUGAUCCACUACUGGGUUUAAAAGCUUAUAGCCCACAGUGAAGGACACAGUAUACAAUUCCCCAUUGAGCCACAUUGCAC